UACGUAGGGUGCAAGCGUUGUCCGGAAUUAUUGGGCGUAAAGAGCGUGUAGGCGGCCCGGUAAGCCCGCUGUGAAAGUCGGGGGCUCAACCCUCGAAUGCCGGUGGAUACUGUCGGGCUAGAGUGCGGAAGAGGCGAGUGGAAUUCCUGGUGUAGCGGUGAAAUGCGCAGAUAUCAGGAGGAACACCAAUUGCGAAGGCAGCUCGCUGGGACGUAACUGACGCUGAGACGCGAAAGCGUGGGGAGCAAACAGG
This 253-nucleotide ribosomal RNA is filed under the name uncultured bacterium. Its description in RNAcentral is "partial 16S ribosomal RNA". It matches the Rfam family "Bacterial small subunit ribosomal RNA", at positions 524 to 776 of the family's 1533-position model. The record is from RNAcentral.